Poecile atricapillus (Black-capped chickadee) is the source of this 3747-nucleotide RNA transcript. It is a transcript of the gene named BLOC-1-related complex subunit 5-like, with no coding region annotated. The record is from RefSeq and is a predicted model, not a curated record. The transcript has 5 exons. NCBI's taxonomy places the organism in Eukaryota, Metazoa, Chordata, Aves, Passeriformes, Paridae.
GGAACCCCGUGGGCGGCGGCGGCGGCACCCGCGCUGCGGCGGGCGGGGGACGGAGGCACCGCCAUGGGCGCGGAGCAGAGCGCCGAGGCCGAGAGCCGCCCGGGCGAGCCCAGUGCCGCAGCAUCUCCGUUGCCAGCCAAGCAACGAGCAAAAAUGGACGACAUUGUGGUUGUAGCCCCAGGAACACAAUCCUCAAGGAAUGUCAGCAAUGAUCCAGAUGUCAUAAAACUGCAGGAGAUUCCAACUUUCCAGCCCCUUUUGAAAGGACUCCUCAGUGGGCAGACGUCUCCAACCAACACCAAGCUGGAGAAGCUGGACCCACAGCAGGUGCUGCAGCUGUGCCUCCGGUACCAGGACCACCUCCACCAGUGUGCAGAGGCCGUGGCCUUUGACCAGAACGCACUGGUGAAGCGCAUCAAGGAGAUGGACCUCUCUGUGGAAACUCUUUACAGCCUCAUGCAGGAGCGCCAGAAGAAGUACGCCAAGUAUGCGGAGCAGAUCCAGAAGGUCAACGAGAUGUCUGCCAUCCUGCGCCGUAUCCAGAUGGGCAUCGACCAGACGGUGCCGCUGAUGGAGCGACUGAACAGCCUCCUGCCAGAGGGGGAGCGGCUGGAGCCCUUCUCCAUGAAACCCGACCGGGAGCUGAGGUCGUAGCGCUCUGGCAGUUCCCCCUCCUCACCUUCCACGCUCCAUGUUCGGCACGGAUGCGUUUCCAGCAGGUUGCAUUGGCAGGUGUUUGGAGUGGGCAGCACUGCUGCUGGACUCUCUGCCAGGGCAGCGGAGGGAGAACAGCGUUAGCUGCCAGAGCUGCACAGUCAGGAAUCCAGGAGCUCCCCAAAGGAGAUGAUUUACCAUUCUCUCAUCUCCCUCCUCUUGCCCUCCUGUCUCCUUUGCCACAACAGCGCCUGUGCAGACACAUUUGUUUCACUGCUGUGACUAGUUGUGGUUUACAGAGGAGGAAUUUCCUUUCAUGUGAUUUAUUUUUUUUACUAAAAAAUUUCAAUGGGAUAUGGGGUAUGAUAAACCCUCUAACAUGUUUUUUGUGCCACUGGGGUUUAGACACUUAAGAUGGCUGGAAGGUAUUUCUGAGAUCCCCUGGCCUUGGAAAUAUGUGUGUUUUAUAGGUGAAAGUGUGGGAGCCAGGAACUGGCUUAUUAAAAUCUGGCCAUUAUCAUAAUUAACAUGGUUUGCAUGGCAGGGUUUUUGGCAUGUCCUUGAGGCUUCUGUUUCUGUGGGCUCACUAAUUUAUGAGGCUGUAAAGGAGUAACUGUUCUAGAUAUGUAUGCUGUUGAUGUAAAGCAAACCUUAGUAUUCCUCUCCCCCUUGCCCUGGCAAUGUCCCCAUGCCCCAGCUGGUGGCACUCUGACAGGCACCGAUACCAACCUGCACACUUUGCAUCCCAAAGUUGGACACAAGGUGUCUUUUUUUAUUGGGACACUCCAGUUACCUUGGUGCUGUCCUUUUUUACCAGUGGGGUGCAGCUGCUUCUUCAAGUGUGUGAGGCUGGAGGGGAGUGACACAAGAAGUCCUUUGGCUCUUUCUGUUGGUUUAGCUACCCUUGUGCCGGGAGCUGGUGGUGGCACACUGCUGAAUGACUGAAACCAUGGGGCCCUUCUCAGCCACCUGCUCCAAAGGCAGUGAGAUGUUCUUGCCUCCUCCCAGGCAAACCAAGGCCGAAGAACCCAUGAACCCCAAGGGCUAUUGUGUCAGGAGUGCAGUUCCAGCAGCGAGGACAGUCAGGGACAACCAGCUUCCAGUACAGCACAAGGUGGGGUCACUUGCCAAAGGCAACUUGCUUCAGUAUGUCUUAGUACUUAAGAGCAUUUAUUAAGCAAAAGGUUGUCUCUAAACAUCUGGAAGUAAGAGUGCUGUAGGUUUUUGAUUGUAAUAAUUAUUGCCUGGUGGCAAGAAGCAACAGUCUGUUCUCUUGUUGCAUUCCCAAAGGCCAGCAUGAAUUUUUGUCAUGCAGACUGCAGCCAACUUAGAUGUGCGUCAGAACCACUGUGGUGGUUGGAUCCCAGGGCCUGCUGAACACUAUCUAGAAGAGUCCUGUAGUAAUGAAGCCCCCUGGAAUGUCCUGGGAAGUGGGACUGACUGCUUUAGGGAGGGAAGGGAACUCAGCAUGAGGGUUUUUAGCAAAGGCAGCAGGUCUCCUUGCCUGCUGCUCUCACCCCAGAGGUUUGACACAGUUGUAUGUACACAGACAUAUGCUGUGUGUUGCCCAGCAUAAAACAUCAAAAUUCCAUCCUUGUUAAAGGUUCCUGCCAUGUUUUACACUUAGAUUGUUAAAAGCUUACAUGAGACUUAACCCAGGAAAAGCUGUUUGUCAUGGCCAUGCCCUUGUGGGUCCUCAUUGUCCAUCAUGGAAUAAUGUAUCUCUGCCUCCCACCAUCAGACACACAAGAAUACUGAGCUGCUUUAAAUAGUAGCUGCAGCCAUUUUUGUCCUCCUUGUCCAGAUGCUGCUGUCUGGAUGUUUUAAAUAUGCAACAUUCAGCUGUCUGCCAGAUGGGAUCUCAUGAGUGUCCCACACCCUGGUGUGCUGGAAGCCUGUGCCACUGGGAAGAUUCUGAUACUGGAUCUCAAGGCAGAUGCUCUCUCCUGUAAGAUACUUUUCUGAGGCUUGUAGACAUUUGGCCUCAGGCCAUUCCGUAUCAGAUCAAAGCACUGCUCCCUGCAGUGCUAAUGAGGGCAAAGGACUAGUAUUCCCAACUGAAGGCUGCCAGGAGCAAGUGCUGCAAAUCAGUUCCUUCCUCAUUUCCCAGAAAACACCAAGCUGUUGGGCUGAGAAUGGGAGAAAGUUUGUUCUUAGGAACACUGGUCUUUAAGCUUGUGCCUGUGCUGCUGGGCCUCACAGACAGAACUUCUUGAACAGCAAGGGCGGGUUGUGGAAGGCAUAAUAUCUGAACUAGAAAGAAAUAAGAGCUGAAAUAUGAAGGCCAACCGUUUUCAAUGCUCACAUAUCAUCACCUUCAUUCCACAGGUGAUAGUCUCUUGCAUGGGUACUGUAAGAAGCAUGCACCCUCUAACUGCCCUUGAAUGACAGUUUACAGUUUUAUUUAAAACAUUGUCACUGCCUUCAGGAACUGUAAAUCUUUGGCCCUCUUGCUGAGGGUGAGACGUGUCCUGCCACAUCUUCUCGAGCUGCUGUUUGUUGCUUGGCUGGUCCUUGUGGCUUUGCUCCACAUGCUGCUUUCAGCUUCAGCUCAGAUGCAAGUGAUGCUCAGGGUAAGAUUGAUGCUUCCCUCCCAUGCUGUUUAGCAGGAGCUUGGAGAUGUGACUGGAAUCACCUUUCCACUUAUGAAUUUCUUCUUCCAAGCCAAAUGCUCUUGGGGGAGGCCUCAGGUAUCUUUUGCAAAUGUACCAGCUGUUGCUUCUAGCACAAAUUUAGUGCUUUGAACAGGGAAUAAUUUAGCAUGCUCUCCUGAAACCAGACACUGCUGCCCUUCUCUGUUUUCUGGGUGGUGCGUGGUCUGGGGGUAGAGCCUAAGCUUCUUGAUAUGUGAUCCUGUGAAAAGCUGGGGAGCAGGACGAGUCACUGGGGCUGUGGUUCCUCUCUGGCCUGAGCUGCUCUGGCACUUCCCCAGACUCUGCUGUUGCAACUCCCCCGUUGUGCUGCCACUGGUGCUGCUUGUGUCUCACACUCUGCUGCCCAUGCAGAGCAGGCUGUCCCAGUUCUGGUUGGCACUGAUGUCCAGUUUGAAUACAAGAUGUGAGCAGCAAUGCUUGGGACUUGGCACUGGGAAAG